This is a non-coding RNA of Phalacrocorax carbo (great cormorant), 484 nucleotides long. Lineage: Eukaryota; Metazoa; Chordata; Aves; Suliformes; Phalacrocoracidae. The record is from RefSeq and is a predicted model, not a curated record.
AGCAGGUAUAUACCACCUCCAACUCACCGUCGCUCACUAAAGGUCUCCAAAGGGAAUGCUUUGCUUCUUGGUGGACUCUGCCACAAGACCGAAGUUCAGCGGACAGGGUCACUGCUGCACACAUGGAGCAAGGCAGCAAACAAAAAUUGUUCCACGGACUUUCGACACGCAGGGGCAUCUCCACAAUCUACAGACGUGCAUUCUCCCACUCCUACUGUUCUGUCAGCAUCACGACCUUUGGGAAGCAAAGACAAGGGGUAAGGAAAGGAACCAGCACAUGUAGAAUUUGGGGUUUAAUCUCUCAAGCCGGGCAGGAAGAUCUGAAUCAGCAUACCAGAGUCACAAUUAUCCAGCUGAAACUGAGAAUCUGGGCUCCCAAGGUUAGGCUGAGAUUAAGAAUUCCUAGUCUUAGUAUGUGUUACUGUGUAAGUGGUAUUUUGACAUAAAGCGAUAUAUUUACAAAUAUAAAUAAAGAGCCUAAAUU